This 370-nucleotide small RNA is filed under the name Histoplasma capsulatum. RNAcentral's name for it is "hypothetical RNA". The record is from RNAcentral. Lineage: Eukaryota; Fungi; Ascomycota; Eurotiomycetes; Onygenales; Ajellomycetaceae. RNAcentral also lists the same sequence under 1 other name.
GAGGCAAGAACUACGUCCUAUCAACCUCAAAGGUUCGCUGAUUGCCAAAAAGUAUACUCUCCUCGCUCUUUCCGUCUGUUCCCUGGAGUGGGAGCAGCAGUAGCAUUGGGAAGAGCAAUUUUGCUGUGUUCUGAUCUUUUGCCUUAUGGGCGAACCCUCACCCAGCUCGGUGACAUCACAACUGGAGGGGCAUGAUACAAGAACAGACAAUAAAUAUAGUCACAAUAUCUUGUUACCACUCUUGAGAUGAAAAGACGGGGAAAUAUAAUACAGAUGAUUCAGGCUGGACUGCUCGGGUAGCAAAGGCAUUCUUGAUUUCUAAAACGACGCAUAUCUUGGUAGAGGAGAGGAAUUUCAAGUGUGAGGGGAG